UUUGUACUCCCUCCGUCCAACAAAAGAUGUCUCAAGUUUGUCAAAAUUUGGAUAUAUCUAGACAUGACUUAGUGUAUAGAUGCAUUCAAAUUUAGUCAAAGUUGAGACAUACUUUUUAGGACGGAGGGAGUACUUU
Non-coding RNA from Brachypodium distachyon (stiff brome), 136 nucleotides. NCBI's taxonomy places the organism in Eukaryota, Viridiplantae, Streptophyta, Magnoliopsida, Poales, Poaceae. The record is from Rfam.